Molecule: ribosomal RNA, 468 nt
Filed under: uncultured bacterium
Lineage: Bacteria
Description: partial 16S ribosomal RNA
Rfam family: Bacterial small subunit ribosomal RNA
Source: RNAcentral
GACGAACGCUGGCGGCGUGCUUAACACAUGCAAGUCGAACGGUGAAGCUCCAGCUUGCUGGAGUGGAUCAGUGGCGAACGGGUGAGUAACACGUGAGCAACCUGCCCCUGACUCUGGAAUAAGCGCUGGAAACGGCGUCUAAUACUGGAUACGAGAAGGGUCCGCAUGGGCACUUUCUGGAAAGUUUUUCGGUUGGGGAUGGGCUCGCGGCCUAUCAGCUUGUUGGUGAGGUAAUGGCUCACCAAGGCGACGACGGGUAGCCGGCCUGGGAGGGCGACCAGCCACACUGGGACUGAGACACGGCCCAGAGUCGUACGGGAGGCAGCAGUGGGGAAUAUUGCACAGUGGGCGAGAGCGUGAUGCAGCGACGCCGCGUGAGUGAUGACGGCCUUCGGGUUGUAAACCUCUUUCAGCAGGGAAGAAGCGAAAGUGACGGUACCUGCAGAAGAAGCACCGGCUAACUACGUG